CCAUUACACCCCUGCUACUCGGAGUUGCUUUCGCAUGUUAAGAUGAGGGCUAUACGGCUCGGAAAUCGCAACCCGUACGCACCAUAUUUUCCCAUAUAAAUUUGGAAGACCAAUGCCUGCUGCUACCGCAAGUGCCCACUGAAGAGAAAUCACAGUAUUAAGAAAGUGAAACAUUCGUACCCAUUGAAGAAAUUCCGCUGAUUGUCGAGGAAACCAGACCGAUUGAAUCAAAGAUAGUUCCUUUCCUUUAUUUUGGGUAAUUCUUUUUUACGAGAAGCAGCUUGUGACGGCGAAGAAGAGCUAGGGAGACUCCUGAACUGAACCGAAUGGAAGACUAUGGAACUGGAUAAGAGAAUGUAAAGAUUGGCCAUGCUCCAGUUACCAAGGUGCACGGUGUCCUUCGCACACUGUUAGAAACGAGUUAAUUUCACUUCCCCGUCCAAUAAGAGGCAGAGAAAGCAGUUCCUUACACCGAGAAUGCAACCACCUCCAAUGACGCUGUCUAUUAUUAUAGCAUCAGUCACAUGAGUUGGAGGCAGAACCCGAGGUAAAGUGUAGAUGGGAGACUUUUUAUCGAAGAAGCUGGUAUGAAAGGAUGAAGUUUUUGUUAGUUUGUGAGGUGUCCAAUAUAGGCAGAACAUUCACUGGGAUAAUACUUUCAGCCCUUUUCUGGUAUUAAAGUUACUGACUUAAA
Long non-coding RNA from Carya illinoinensis, 694 nucleotides. RefSeq lists it as uncharacterized. The transcript is spliced from 2 exons. The record is from RefSeq and is a predicted model, not a curated record. NCBI's taxonomy places the organism in Eukaryota, Viridiplantae, Streptophyta, Magnoliopsida, Fagales, Juglandaceae.